This 797-nucleotide long non-coding RNA is filed under the name Sorghum bicolor (sorghum). Its description in RNAcentral is "long non-coding RNA (SBIC_LNC003485)". Lineage: Eukaryota; Viridiplantae; Streptophyta; Magnoliopsida; Poales; Poaceae. The record is from RNAcentral.
AUGCGGGAGGCAGCGAGCGCGGCGGCCGCAGCUCGAUGGCGGAGGCAGAGAGCACGGCAGCCGCAGCUUGCCGGAGGCGAUGGCCAGUGCGUCCGCACGCAGAGAGGCGGGGUCGAGGCGGGGCGUAGGGAGGCGGAGGGUGUCGAGCGAGGCGACCGGGGCAGCAGCGUCGGGGCCGCCUCGUGGGUGGUGCUCACCCGAGGCGGCGGCGGCGGCGUUGCGGCCGGUGGAGAGGGCGAGGGAGAGAGGGAGGGGGAGGGGCAGGGGCCGGUGGGCCGCCUGCCCAGCUGGGCCGGCCCACCAGCGGCCAGUUUAGGUUUUUUUUAUUUUUUAUUUUUCUCAUAUGAUGUAUAAAUGUAUUAUUAAUGAUGUAUUAUUAAAUGUAUAUGAUGUAUUCUAAAUAAAUGUAUGUGAUGUAUUAUUAAAUAUUAAUUGUCCUAAAUAAUUAUUAAUUAUUCAUUGUCCUAAAUAAUUAUUAAUUAUUAAUGGUCUUAAAUAAAUUUAUUUGAUGUUUUAUUUUUCUUAUAAAAACUAAUUGUCCUAAAUAAUUAUUAAUUGUUCUAAAUAAAUGUAUAUGAUGUAUUAUUAAUUAUUAAUUGUCCUAAAUAAUUAUUAAUUAUUCUAAGUAAAUGUAUAUGAUGUAUUAUUAAAUAUUAAUUGUCCUAAAUAAUUAUUAAUUAUUCAUUGUCCUAAAUAAUUAUUAAUUAUUAAUGGUCUUAAAUAAAUCUAUUUGAUGUUUUAUUUUUCUUAUAAAUAUUAAUUGUCCUAAAUAAUUAUUAAUUGUUCUAAAUAAAUGU